GGUAUUUUGACUGUGCUAAGGUAACAUAAUCAUUUGUUUUUUAAUUGUUAACUAGAAUGAACGGCUGUACGGUAUAAAUCUUUUUUAAUUUAAAUUUUUAAAUUUAAAUUUAAGUAAAAAUGCUUAAAUAGUAAAAGGGGACGAUAAGACCCUAAAAGCUUUAAUUAUAUUUGUACAAGUAAAGUUAUUUUAAAUUAGUAUAUUAUUAAUAUUAGCUGGGGAAGUUUUUAUAUAUUAACUAUUUUUGUUAGUACUCUAGGCUGUAAGAUCCUUUAUAUAAGGAUAAAUAGAGAGAGUUACUUUAGGGAUAACAGCAUAAUAAUUUUGUAGAGUUCUUAUUAAUAAAAUUGACUGUGACCUCGAUGUUGAAUUAAGGGAUCUAACUGGAGCAUAAAAUAGAUAGAGGGUUUGUUCAACC
This 418-nucleotide ribosomal RNA is filed under the name Crangonyx pseudogracilis. RNAcentral describes it as "partial 16S ribosomal RNA". The record is from RNAcentral. Lineage: Eukaryota; Metazoa; Arthropoda; Malacostraca; Amphipoda; Crangonyctidae.